GGGUUGUGAGGUUAAGCGACUAAGCGUACACGGUGGAUGCCCUGGCAGUCAGAGGCGAUGAAGGGCGUGCUAAUCUGCGAUAAGCGCCGGUAAGGUGAUAUGAACCGUUAUAACCGGCGAUACCCGAAUGGGGAAACCCAGUGUGACUCGUCACACUAUCAUUAACUGAAUCCAUAGGUUAAUGAGGCGAACCGGGGGAACUGAAACAUCUAAGUACCCCGAGGAAAAGAAAUCAACCGAGAUUCCCCCAGUAGCGGCGAGCGAACGGGGAGGAGCCCAGAGCCUGAAUCAGCAUGUGUGUUAGUGGAAGCGUCUGGAAAGGCGCGCGAUACAGGGUGACAGCCCCGUACACAAAAGCGCAUGUGCUGUGAGCUCGAUGAGUAGGGCGGGACACGUGGUAUCCUGUCUGAAUAUGGGGGGACCAUCCUCCAAGGCUAAAUACUCCUGACUGACCGAUAGUGAACCAGUACCGUGAGGGAAAGGCGAAAAGAACCCCGGCGAGGGGAGUGAAAAAGAACCUGAAACCGUGUACGUACAAGCAGUGGGAGCNNNNNNNNNNNNNNNNNNNNNNNNNNNNNNNNNNNNGGGCGUUAAGUUGCAGGGUAUAGACCCGAAACCCGGUGAUCUAGCCAUGGGCAGGUUGAAGGUUGGGUAACACUAACUGGAGGACCGAACCGACUAAUGUUGAAAAAUUAGCGGAUGACCUGUGGCUGGGGGUGAAAGGCCAAUCAAACCGGGAGAUAGCUGGUUCUCCCCGAAAGCUAUUUAGGUAGCGCCUCGUGAAUUCAUCUCCGGGGGUAGAGCACUGUUUCGGCUAGGGGGCCAUCCCGGCUUACCAACCCGAUGCAAACUGCGAAUACCGGAGAAUGUUAUCACGGGAGACACACGGCGGGUGCUAACGUCCGUCGUGAAGAGGGAAACAACCCAGACCGCCAGCUAAGGUCCCAAAGUCAUGGUUAAGUGGGAAACGAUGUGGGAAGGCCCAGACAGCCAGGAUGUUGGCUUAGAAGCAGCCAUCAUUUAAAGAAAGCGUAAUAGCUCACUGGUCGAGUCGGCCUGCGCGGAAGAUGUAACGGGGCUAAACCAUGCACCGAAGCUGCGGCAGCGANNUGCUGGAGGUAUCAGAAGUGCGAAUGCUGACAUAAGUAACGAUAAAGCGGGUGAAAAGCCCGCUCGCCGGAAGACCAAGGGUUCCUGUCCAACGUUAAUCGGGGCAGGGUGAGUCGACCCCUAAGGCGAGGCCGAAAGGCGUAGUCGAUGGGAAACGGGUUAAUAUUCCCGUACUUGGUGUUACUGCGAAGGGGGGACGGAGAAGGCUAUGUUGGCCGGGCGACGGUUGUCCCGGUUUAAGCGUGUAGGUGUGUGUUCCAGGUAAAUCCGGUUCACUUUAACACUGAGGCGUGACGACGAGGCACUACGGUGCUGAAGCAACAAAUGCCCUGCUUCCAGGAAAAGCCUCUAAGCAUCAGGUAACAUCAAAUCGUACCCCAAACCGACACAGGUGGUCAGGUAGAGAAUACCAAGGCGCUUGAGAGAACUCGGGUGAAGGAACUAGGCAAAAUGGUGCCGUAACUUCGGGAGAAGGCACGCUGACACGUAGGUGAAGUGAUUUACUCAUGGAGCUGAAGUCAGUCGAAGAUACCAGCUGGCUGCAACUGUUUAUUAAAAACACAGCACUGUGCAAACACGAAAGUGGACGUAUACGGUGUGACGCCUGCCCGGUGCCGGAAGGUUAAUUGAUGGGGUCAGCGCAAGCGAAGCUCCUGAUCGAAGCCCCGGUAAACGGCGGCCGUAACUAUAACGGUCCUAAGGUAGCGAAAUUCCUUGUCGGGUAAGUUCCGACCUGCACGAAUGGCGUAAUGAUGGCCAGGCUGUCUCCACCCGAGACUCAGUGAAAUUGAACUCGCUGUGAAGAUGCAGUGUACCCGCGGCAAGACGGAAAGACCCCGUGAACCUUUACUAUAGCUUGACACUGAACAUUGAGCCUUGAUGUGUAGGAUAGGUGGGAGGCUUUGAAGUGUGGACGCCAGUCUGCAUGGAGCCGACCUUGAAAUACCACCCUUUAAUGUUUGAUGUUCUAACGUGGACCCGUUACCCGGGUUGCGGACAGUGUCUGGUGGGUAGUUUGACUGGGGCGGUCUCCUCCUAAAGAGUAACGGAGGAGCACGAAGGUUGGCUAAUCCUGGUCGGACAUCAGGAGGUUAGUGCAAUGGCAUAAGCCAGCUUGACUGCGAGCGUGACGGCGCGAGCAGGUGCGAAAGCAGGUCAUAGUGAUCCGGUGGUUCUGAAUGGAAGGGCCAUCGCUCAACGGAUAAAAGGUACUCCGGGGAUAACAGGCUGAUACCGCCCAAGAGUUCAUAUCGACGGCGGUGUUUGGCACCUCGAUGUCGGCUCAUCACAUCCUGGGGCUGAAGUAGGUCCCAAGGGUAUGGCUGUUCGCCAUUUAAAGUGGUACGCGAGCUGGGUUUAGAACGUCGUGAGACAGUUCGGUCCCUAUCUGCCGUGGGCGCUGGAGAACUGAGGGGGGCUGCUCCUAGUACGAGAGGACCGGAGUGGACGCAUCACUGGUGUUCGGGUUGUCAUGCCAAUGGCACUGCCCGGUAGCUAAAUGCGGAAGAGAUAAGUGCUGAAAGCAUCUAAGCACGAAACUUGCCCCGAGAUGAGUUCUCCCAGAGACUUAGAGUCACCUGAAGGAACGUUGAAGACGACGACGUUG
RNAcentral lists this ribosomal RNA (2716 nucleotides) under Salmonella enterica subsp. enterica serovar Heidelberg. Its description in RNAcentral is "bacterial LSU rRNA". It matches the Rfam family "Bacterial large subunit ribosomal RNA". The record is from RNAcentral. Lineage: Bacteria; Pseudomonadati; Pseudomonadota; Gammaproteobacteria; Enterobacterales; Enterobacteriaceae.